UACGGAGGGUGCAAGCGUUGUCCGGAUUCAUUGGGUUUAAAGGGUGCGUAGGCGGUACGUUAAGUCAGUGGUGAAAUCCUGGGGCUCAACCCCGGAAUUGCCAUAGAUACUGGCGUGCUUGAGUUCGACCGAGGCGGUUGGAAUGCGUGGUGUAGCGGUGAAAUGCUUAGAUAUCACGCGGAACACCGAUUGCGAAGGCAGAUCGCUAGGUCGCGACUGACGCUGAGGCACGAAAGUGCGGGGAUCAAACAGG
RNAcentral lists this non-coding RNA (253 nucleotides) under uncultured bacterium. RNAcentral's name for it is "partial 16S ribosomal RNA". It matches the Rfam family "Bacterial small subunit ribosomal RNA", at positions 524 to 776 of the family's 1533-position model. The record is from RNAcentral. RNAcentral also lists the same sequence under 1 other name.